AAACCAACAGGGAUUGCCUCAGUAACGGCGAGUGAAGCGGCAACAGCUCAAAUUUGAAAUCUGGCCCUAGGCCCGAGUUGUAAUUUGCAGAGGAUGCUUUUGGUGAGGUGCCUUCCAAGUUCCCUAGAACGGGACGCCAGAGAGGGUGAGAGCCCCGUACAGUUGGACACCAAGCCUUUGUAAAGCUCCUUCGACGAGUCGAGUAGUUUAGGAAUGCUGCUCAAAAUGGGAGGUAUAUUUCUUCUAAAGCUAAAUACCGGCCAGAGACCGAUAGCGCACAAGUAGAGUGAUCGAAAGAUGAAAAGCACUUUGAAAAGAGGGUUAAACAGCACGUGAAAUUGUUAAAAGGGAAGCGCUUGUGACCAGACUUGCGUCCGGUGAAUCACCCAGCUCUCGCGGCUGGGGCACUUCGCCGGCUCAGGCCAGCAUCAGCUCGCUGUCGGGGACAAAAGCUUCAGGAACGUAGCUCUCUUCGGGGAGUGUUAUAGCCUGUUGCAUAAUACCCUUCGGCGGGCUGAGGUACGCGCUCCGCAAGGAUGCUGGCAUAAUGGUCAUCAGCGAC
RNAcentral lists this ribosomal RNA (562 nucleotides) under uncultured fungus. Its description in RNAcentral is "eukaryotic LSU rRNA". It matches the Rfam family "Eukaryotic large subunit ribosomal RNA", at positions 62 to 648 of the family's 3401-position model. Lineage: Eukaryota; Fungi. The record is from RNAcentral.